RNAcentral lists this ribosomal RNA (420 nucleotides) under uncultured Nitrososphaerota archaeon. RNAcentral's name for it is "bacterial SSU rRNA". It matches the Rfam family "Archaeal small subunit ribosomal RNA", at positions 459 to 879 of the family's 1478-position model. The record is from RNAcentral. Lineage: Archaea; Thermoproteati; Nitrososphaerota.
CAGCCGCCGCGGUAACACCAGCCCCUCGAGUGGUGGGGAUGAUUAUUGGGCCUAAAGCGUCCGUAGCCUGCCGUGUAAGUUUCCCGUUAAAUCCAGCGUCUUAAGCGUUGGACCGCGGGAAAUACUGUACGGCUAGAGAGUGGGAGAGGUCAGCGGUAUUCUGGGGGUAGGGGCGAAAUCCUUUGAUCCCCGGAGGACCACCAGUGGCGAAGGCUGCUGUCUAGAACACGUCUGACGGUCAGGGACGAAAGCUGGGGUAGCGAACCGGAUUAGAUACCCGGGUAGUCCCAGCCGUAAACGAUGCAUGCUAGGUGUUGGGUUGGCCACGAGCCACCCCAGUGCCGCAGGGAAGCCGUUAAGCAUGCCGCCUGGGAAGUACGAUCGCAAGGUUGAAACUUAAAGGAAUUGGCGGGGGAGCAC